RNAcentral lists this ribosomal RNA (402 nucleotides) under uncultured bacterium. Its description in RNAcentral is "bacterial SSU rRNA". It matches the Rfam family "Bacterial small subunit ribosomal RNA", at positions 355 to 774 of the family's 1533-position model. The record is from RNAcentral.
UGGGGAAUAUUGGACAAUGGGGGAAACCCUGAUCCAGCAAUGCCGCGUGAGUGAAGAAGGCCUUAGGGUUGUAAAGCUCUUUCGCCCGCAAAGAUAAUGACGGUAGCGGGAGAAGAAGCCCCGGCUAACUCCGUGCCAGCAGCCGCGGUAAUACGGAGGGGGCUAGCGUUGUUCGGAAUUACUGGGCGUAAAGCGUACGUAGGCGGAUGCGCAAGUUGGGGGUGAAAUCCCGGGGCUUAACCUCGGAAUUGCCCUCAAAACUGCACAUCUUGAGACCGAGAGAGGUAAGGGGAAUUCCUAGUGUAGAGGUGAAAUUCGUAGAUAUUAGGAAGAACACCAGUGGCGAAGGCGCCUUACUGGCUCGGUACUGACGCUGAGGUACGAAAGCGUGGGGAGCAAACA